AGUGAACGCUGGCGGUAGGCCUAACACAUGCAAGUCGAACGGCAGCACAGUAAGAGCUUGCUCUUACGGGUGGCGAGUGGCGGACGGGUGAGGAAUACAUCGGAAUCUACUUUUUCGUGGGGGAUAACGUAGGGAAACUACCGCUAAUACCCAAUACGCCCUACGGGUGAAAGCAGGGGAUCUUGGGACCUUGCGCGAUUAAAUGAGCCGAUGUCGGAUUAGCUAGUUGGCGGGGUAAAGGCCCACCAAGGCGACGAUCCGUAGCUGGUCUGAGAGGAUGAUCAGCCACACUGGAACUGAGACACGGUCCAGACUCCUACGGGAGGCAGCAGUGGGGAAUAUUGGACAAUGGGCGCAAGCCUGAUCCAGCCAUACCGCGUGGGUGAAGAAGGCCUUCGGGUUGUAAAGCCCUUUUGUUGGGAAAGAAAAGCAGCAGGUUAAUACCCCGCUGUUCUGACGGUACCCAAAGAAUAAGCACCGGCUAACUUCGUG
This 492-nucleotide ribosomal RNA is filed under the name uncultured bacterium. Its description in RNAcentral is "partial 16S ribosomal RNA". It matches the Rfam family "Bacterial small subunit ribosomal RNA", at positions 29 to 507 of the family's 1533-position model. The record is from RNAcentral.